GGGUCGGUACAGAGGGUUGCCAAGCCGCGAGGUGGAGCCAAUCCCUUAAAGCCGAUCGUAGUCCGGAUCGUAGUCUGCAACUCGACUACGUGAAGUCGGAAUCGCUAGUAAUCGCAGAUCAGCAUGCUGCGGUGAAUACGUUCCCGGGUCUU
RNAcentral lists this ribosomal RNA (152 nucleotides) under uncultured Thauera sp. Its description in RNAcentral is "partial 16S ribosomal RNA". It matches the Rfam family "Bacterial small subunit ribosomal RNA", at positions 1229 to 1382 of the family's 1533-position model. The record is from RNAcentral. Lineage: Bacteria; Pseudomonadati; Pseudomonadota; Betaproteobacteria; Rhodocyclales; Zoogloeaceae.